UUACGGUUAUAUCACGUUGCAACACAAGUUCUCGUACGAUCACCGAAGUUAAACAACGUCGAGCCUGGUUAGUAUCUAGAUGGGUGACCGCUUAGGAAUACCAGGUGCUGUAAG
Acanthosepion pharaonis is the source of this 114-nucleotide non-coding RNA. The record is from the annotation of a GenBank genome assembly. Lineage: Eukaryota; Metazoa; Mollusca; Cephalopoda; Sepiida; Sepiidae.